This 653-nucleotide ribosomal RNA is filed under the name uncultured soil bacterium. RNAcentral's name for it is "bacterial SSU rRNA". It matches the Rfam family "Bacterial small subunit ribosomal RNA", at positions 44 to 683 of the family's 1533-position model. The record is from RNAcentral.
GUGCUUAACACAUGCAANUGGAGCGACGAACCAGGGCUUGCCCUGGGGCAGAGCCGCGAACGGGUGAGUAACACGUGGGUAACCUACCCCGAUGACUGGGACAACCCGAGGAAACUCGGGCUAAUACCGGAUAUGUCCGACGUUCACGAGAACGUCGAGCAAAGGAAGCUUCGGCCUCCGCAUUGGGAGGGGCCCGCGGCCCAUUAGCUUGUUGGUGGGGUAACGGCCUACCAAGGCUGCGAUGGGUAGCUGGUCUGAGAGGACGAUCAGCCACACUGGGACUGAGACACGGCCCAGACUCCUACGGGAGGCAGCAGUGGGGAAUCUUGCGCAAUGCGCGAAAGCGUGACGCAGCAACACCGCGUGAGGGAAGACGGCCUUCGGGUUGUAAACCUCUUUCAGGAGGGACGAAGGUCGGCCGGUGAAUAGCCGUGCCGACUGACGGUACCUCCAGAAGAAGCUCCGGCUAACUACGUGCCAGCAGCCGCGGUAAUACGUAGGGAGCAAGCGUUGUCCGGAAUCAUUGGGCGUAAAGCGCGCGUAGGCGGCCCGAUAAGUCCGCUGUAAAAGUCAACGGCUCAACUGUUGAAAGCCGGUGGAUACUGUCGGGCUAGAGUACGGAAGAGGCAAGUGGAAUUCCUGGUGUAGCGGUG